CGGGACGGGUGAGUAACGCGUGGGUAACCUGCCUUAUACAGGGGGAGUAACAGUCAGAAAUGGCUGCUAAUACCGCAUAAGCGCACAGAGCUGCAUGGCUCAGUGUGAAAAACUCCGGUGGUAUAAGAUGGACCCGCGUUGGAUUAGCUAGUUGGUGAGGUAACGGCCUACCAAGGCGACGAUCCAUAGCCGGCCUGAGAGGGUGAACGGCCACAUUGGGACUGAGACACGGCCCAGACUCCUACGGGAGGCAGCAUG
This 258-nucleotide ribosomal RNA is filed under the name uncultured bacterium. Its description in RNAcentral is "partial 16S ribosomal RNA". It matches the Rfam family "Bacterial small subunit ribosomal RNA", at positions 98 to 353 of the family's 1533-position model. The record is from RNAcentral.